This 356-nucleotide ribosomal RNA is filed under the name uncultured bacterium. Its description in RNAcentral is "bacterial SSU rRNA". It matches the Rfam family "Bacterial small subunit ribosomal RNA", at positions 8 to 353 of the family's 1533-position model. The record is from RNAcentral.
AGAGUUUGAUCAUGGCUCAGGACGAACGCUGGCGGCGUGCUUAACACAUGCAAGUCGAGGGGAAACGACAUCGAAAGCUUGCUUUUGAUGGUCGUCGACCGGCGCACGGGUGAGUAACGCGUAUCCAACCUGCCCAUCACUUGGGGAUAACCUUGCGAAAGUAAGACUAAUACCCAAUGAUAUCUCUAGAAGACAUCUGAAAGAGAUUAAAGAUUUAUCGGUGAUGGAUGGGGAUGCGUCUGAUUAGCUUGUUGGCGGGGUAACGGCCCACCAAGGCAACGAUCAGUAGGGGUUCUGAGAGGAAGGUCCCCCACAUUGGAACUGAGACACGGUCCAAACUCCUACGGGAGGCAGCA